ACGAACGCUGGCGGCGUGCUUAACACCUGCAAGUCGAACGGAAAGGCCCUGCUUUUGUGGGGUGCUCGAGUGGCGAACGGGUGAGUAACACGUGAGUAACCUGCCCUUGACUUUGGGAUAACUUCAGGAAACUGGGGCUAAUACCGGAUAGGAGCUCCUGCUGCAUGGUGGGGGUUGGAAAGUUUCGGCGGUUGGGGAUGGACUCGCGGCUUAUCAGCUUGUUGGUGGGGUAGUGGCUUACCAAGGCUUUGACGGGUAGCCGGCCUGAGAGGGUGACCGGCCACAUUGGGACUGAGAUACGGCCCAGACUCCUACGGGAGGCAGCAGUGGGGAAUAUUGCACAAUGGGCGGAAGCCUGAUGCAGCAACGCCGCGUGCGGGAUGACGGCCUUCGGGUUGUAAACCGCUUUAGCCUGUGACGAAGCGUGAGUGACGGUAAUGGGUAAAGAAGCACCGGCUAACUACGUG
RNAcentral lists this ribosomal RNA (467 nucleotides) under uncultured bacterium. Its description in RNAcentral is "partial 16S ribosomal RNA". It matches the Rfam family "Bacterial small subunit ribosomal RNA", at positions 29 to 507 of the family's 1533-position model. The record is from RNAcentral.